AACAAACGCUGGCGGCGUGCCUAACACAUGCAAGUCGUACGAGAAAGGGUCCUUCGGGGCCUGAGUAAAGUGGCGCACGGGUGAGUAACGCGUGGAUAAUCUACCCUUCAGUUGGGAAUAACUCAUCGAAAGGUGGGCUAAUACCGAAUAACACUGUGAGACCUUGGUCGAUCAGUCAAAGAGAGCCUCUGCUUGCAUGCCCUCGCUGAAGGAUGAGUCCGCGUACCAUUAGCUAGUUGGUAGGGUAAUGGCCUACCAAGGCGACGAUGGUUAGCUGGUCUGAGAGGAUGAUCAGCCACACUGGAACUGAGACACGGUCCAGACUCCUACGGGAGGCAGCAGUGAGGAAUCUUGCGCAAUGGGGGCAACCCUGACGCAGCAACGCCGCGUGAGUGAGGAAGGUCUUCGGAUCGUAAAGCUCUGUCGGAUGGAAAGAACCGCAUGGGGGUAAAUAGCCCUCAUGUCUGACGGUACCAUCAGAGGAAGCACCGGCUAACUCCGUGCCAGCCGCCGCAGUAA
RNAcentral lists this ribosomal RNA (519 nucleotides) under uncultured bacterium. RNAcentral's name for it is "partial 16S ribosomal RNA". It matches the Rfam family "Bacterial small subunit ribosomal RNA", at positions 29 to 523 of the family's 1533-position model. The record is from RNAcentral.